This 492-nucleotide ribosomal RNA is filed under the name uncultured bacterium. RNAcentral describes it as "partial 16S ribosomal RNA". It matches the Rfam family "Bacterial small subunit ribosomal RNA", at positions 38 to 507 of the family's 1533-position model. The record is from RNAcentral.
GGGGGGGGGGGGGGGGGGGGGGGGCGCAGGCGGGGCGGACGGUGACAGGCCUUCGGGGGCUGACGAGGGGCGAACGGGUGAGUAAUGCAUCGGAACGUACCCAGAGGUGGGGGCUAACGCAGCGAAAGCUGUGCUAAUACCCCAUGUGAUCUGAGCAUGAAAGCGGGGGACCGAGCCGCAAUGUUUGGCCUCGCGCCCUUGGAUCGGCCCAUGUCGGCUUAGCGAGUUGGUGGGGCACAGGCCUACAACGGCGCAGAUCCGUAGCUGGUCUGAGAGGACGACGAGCAACACUGAGACGGAGACAAGGCCCAGAAUCGUAGGGGAGGCAGCGGUGGGGAAUGUUGGACAAUGGGCGCAAGCCUGAUCCAGCAAUGCCGCGUGCGGGAAGAAGGCCUUCGGGUUGUAAACCGCUUUUGGCAGGAACGAAACGGUGUCCGCUAAUACCGGGCGCUAAUGACGGUACCUGCAGAAUAAGCACCGGCUAACUACGUG